GACGAACGCUGGCGGCGUGCCUAAUACAUGCAAGUUGAGCGCUGAAGGUUGGUACUUGUACCGACUGGAUGAGCAGCGAACGGGUGAGUAACGCGUGGGGAAUCUGCCUUUGAGCGGGGGACAACAUUUGGAAACGAAUGCUAAAACGGAUUAAAACUUUAAACAAAAAGUUUAAGGUUUAAAGAUGGAAAUGCAACAACCCAAAGAGAAUCCGCGUUGUAUUAGCUAGUUGGUGAGGUAAAGGCUCACCAAGGCGAUGGUACAUAGCCGACCUGGGAGGGUGAUCGGCCACAUUGGGACUGAGACACGGCCCAAACUCCUACGGGAGGCAGCAGUAGGGAAUCUUCGGCAAUGGACGAAAGUCUGACCGAGCAACGCCGCGUGAGUGAAGAAGGUUUUCGGAUCGUAAAACUCUGUUGGUAGAGAAGAACGUUGGUGAGAGUGGAAAGCUCAUCAAGUGACGGUAACUACCCAGAAAGGGACGGCUAACUACGUG
Molecule: ribosomal RNA, 496 nt
Filed under: uncultured bacterium
Lineage: Bacteria
Description: partial 16S ribosomal RNA
Rfam family: Bacterial small subunit ribosomal RNA
Source: RNAcentral